RNAcentral lists this ribosomal RNA (407 nucleotides) under uncultured bacterium. RNAcentral describes it as "partial 16S ribosomal RNA". It matches the Rfam family "Bacterial small subunit ribosomal RNA", at positions 30 to 526 of the family's 1533-position model. The record is from RNAcentral.
AUUGAACGCUGGCGGCAGGCCUAAUACAUGCAAGUCGAGCGGAGCGGCGGACGGGUGAGUAAUACAUAGAAAUCUGCCUGGUAGUGGGGGAUAACGUACGGAAACGGGCGCUUAUACCGCAUACUAUCAGAUGAGCCUAGGUUGGAUGAGCUGGUUGGUGGGGUAAAGGCCUACCAAGGCGACGAUCCGUACCUGGCCUGAGAGGAGGAUCAGUCACACUGGAACUGAGACACGGCCCAGACUCCUACGGGAGGCAGCAGUGGGGAAUAUUGGACAAUGGGCGAAAGCCUGAUCGAGCCAUGACGCGUGUGUGAAGAAGGUCUUCGGAUUGUAAAGCACUUUGAGUUGGGAGGCGGUACCAACAGAAUAAGCACCGGCUAACUACGUGCCAGCAGCCGCGGUAAUAC